UACAGAGGGUGCAAGCGUUGUCCGGAAUUAUUGGGCGUAAAGAGCUCGUAGGCGGUUUGUCGCGUCUGCUGUGAAAACUCGGGGCUUAACUCCGGGCCUGCAGUGGGUACGGGCAGACUAGAGUGCGGUAGGGGAGACUGGAAUUCCUGGUGUAGCGGUGAAAUGCGCAGAUAUCAGGAGGAACACCGGUGGCGAAGGCGGGUCUCUGGGCAGUAACUGACGCUGAGGAGCGAAAACGUGGGGAGCGAACAGG
This 253-nucleotide ribosomal RNA is filed under the name uncultured bacterium. RNAcentral's name for it is "partial 16S ribosomal RNA". It matches the Rfam family "Bacterial small subunit ribosomal RNA", at positions 524 to 776 of the family's 1533-position model. The record is from RNAcentral.